GAUGAACGCUGGCGGCGUGCCUAAUACAUGCAAGUCGAGCGAACAGACGAGGAGCUUGCUCCUCUGACGUUAGCGGCGGACGGGUGAGUAACACGUGGAUAACCUACCUAUAAGACUGGGAUAACUUCGGGAAACCGGAGCUAAUACCGGAUAUUAUAUUGAACCGCAUGGUUCAAUAGUGAAAGACGGUUUUGCUGUCACUUAUAGAUGGAUCCGCGCCGCAUUAGCUAGUUGGUAAGGUAACGGCCUACCAAGGCAACGAUGCGUAGCCGACCUGAGAGGGUGAUCGGCCACACUGGAACUGAGACACGGUCCAGACUCCUACGGGAGGCAGCAGUAGGGAAUCUUCCGCAAUGGGCGAAAGCCUGACGGAGCAACGCCGCGUGAGUGAUGAGGGUCUUCGGAUCGUAAAACUCUGUUAUUAGGGAAGAACAAAUGUGUAAGUAACUAUGCACGUCUUGACGGUACCUAAUCAGAAAGCCACGGCUAACUACGUG
This 497-nucleotide ribosomal RNA is filed under the name uncultured bacterium. RNAcentral's name for it is "partial 16S ribosomal RNA". It matches the Rfam family "Bacterial small subunit ribosomal RNA", at positions 28 to 507 of the family's 1533-position model. The record is from RNAcentral.